CGGCGAACGGGUGAGUAACACGUGGGCAACCUGCCCUCAGCUCUGGGAUAACUCCAAGAAAUUGGUGCUAAUACCGGAUGUGACCGCUGACCGCAUGGUCUGGUGGUGGAAAGAUUCAUCGGCUGAGGAUGGGCCCGCGGCCUAUCAGCUUGUUGGUGGGGUAAUGGCCCACCAAGGCGACGACGGGUAGCCGGCCUGAGAGGGUGACCGGCCACACUGGGACUGAGACACGGCCCAGACUCCUACGGGAGGCAGCAGUGGGGAAUAUUGCGCAAUGGGCGAAAGCCUGACGCAGCGACGCCGCGUGAGGGAUGACGGCUUUCGGGUUGUAAACCUCUUUCAGUAGGGACGAAGCGCAAGUGACGGUACCUACAGAAGAAGCACCGGCCAACUACGUGCCAGCAGCCGCGGUAAUACGUAGGGUGCAAGCGUUGUCCGGAAUUAUUGGGCGUAAAGAGCUCGUAGGCGGUCUGUCACGUCGGCUGUGAAAACCCGAGGCUCAACCUCGGGCCUGCAGUCGAUACGGGCAAACUAGAGUACUGCAGGGGAGACUGGAAUUCCUGGUGUAGCGGUGAAAUGCGCAGAUAUCAGGAGGAACACCGGUGGCGAAGGCGGGUCUCUGGGCAGUAAC
This 631-nucleotide ribosomal RNA is filed under the name Modestobacter sp. x11r1. RNAcentral describes it as "bacterial SSU rRNA". It matches the Rfam family "Bacterial small subunit ribosomal RNA", at positions 96 to 740 of the family's 1533-position model. Lineage: Bacteria; Bacillati; Actinomycetota; Actinomycetes; Geodermatophilales; Geodermatophilaceae. The record is from RNAcentral.